AGCGGCGGAGGGGGAAUAAGGUUGGGAGACGCUGAGGGAGGGGGAGAAUACUGGAGAGGUAGCUAAACCGCAUGACCUCGAAAGAGCAAAGUGGGGGAAUCUUCGGACCUCACGCCAUCGGAUGUGCCCAGAUGGGAUUAGCUAGUAGGUGAGGUAAUGGCUCACCUAGGCGACGAUCCCUAGCUGGUCUGAGAGGAUGACCAGCCACACUGGAACUGAGACACGGUCCAGACUCCUACGGGAGGCAGCAGUGGGGAAUAUUGCACAAUGGGCGCAAGCCUGAUGCAGCCAUGCCGCGUGUGUGAAGAAGGCCUUAGGGUUGUAAAGCACUUUCAGCGAGGAGGAAGGCAUCAUACUUAAUACGUGUGGUGAUUGACGUUACUCGCAGAAGAAGCACCGGCUAACUCCGUGCCAGCAGCCGCGGUAAUACGGAGGGUGCAAGCGUUAAUCGGAAUUACUGGGCGUAAAGCGCACGCAGCGGUUUGUUAAGUCAGAUGUGAAUCCCCGCGCUUAACGUGGGAACUGCAUUUGAACUGGCAAGCUAGAGUCUGUAGAGGGGGUAGAAUUCCAGGUGUAGCGUGAAAUGCGUAAAGAUCUGGAGGAAUACCGGUGGCGAAGCGCCCCUGGACAAAGACUGACGCUCAGUGCGAAGCGUGGUGAGCAACAGGAUAAAUACCCUGGUAGUCCCGCUGUAACGAUGUCGACUGAAGGUUGUGCCCUGAAGGCUGGCUCGGACUAACCGUAAGUCGACGCCUGGGAGAUACGCCCAGUAACUCAAUGAAUGACUGGACCCGCCAGCGUGAACAUGUGUUAUUCAUGCACCGGAAG
Molecule: ribosomal RNA, 828 nt
Filed under: Rahnella sp. SAN6
Lineage: Bacteria; Pseudomonadati; Pseudomonadota; Gammaproteobacteria; Enterobacterales; Yersiniaceae
Description: bacterial SSU rRNA
Rfam family: Bacterial small subunit ribosomal RNA
Source: RNAcentral